CAUGUUUCUCACACAUUCAUCUGCGGCAGGAACAAUGGGAGGUGUUUGGAUUCUGAUCUUAUGUGCAGUGGCUUUUUGGCCUAAAGGCUCUUGCUUGCCAAUUGCUCAAAAUGGAGGAAUGCAUCAUGAGGUGCAAAAGACUAAAAACUUUUUGACCUACAAUGGAGUUUCGCUGACGAAACCGAUUGCUUCACUCCAGUCGUUGGAUUCCAGGUUGUUGCAAACUUCUAGAGAAGUCCAACUGGAAACCAAUGAAGUGGACGUGUCAAGUGACGCCGCCCACAACGUGUCAAGUGACGCCGCCCACAACGUGUCAAGUGACGCCGCCCACAACGUGUCAAGUGACG
Molecule: long non-coding RNA, 347 nt
Organism: Fundulus heteroclitus (mummichog)
Lineage: Eukaryota; Metazoa; Chordata; Actinopteri; Cyprinodontiformes; Fundulidae
Exons: 4
Source: RefSeq, a predicted model, not a curated record